CCCUGCCCUUUGUACACACCGCCCGUCGCUACUACCGAUUGAAUGGCUCAGUGAGGCUUUCGGACUGGCCUAAGGAGAGUGGCAACACUCACCUAGGGCCGGAAAGUUAUCCAAACUCGGUCAUUUAGAGG
This 131-nucleotide ribosomal RNA is filed under the name Cylindrocephalum aureum. Its description in RNAcentral is "Chalara aurea partial small subunit ribosomal RNA". It matches the Rfam family "Eukaryotic small subunit ribosomal RNA", at positions 1651 to 1779 of the family's 1831-position model. Lineage: Eukaryota; Fungi; Ascomycota; Leotiomycetes; Helotiales; Pezizellaceae. The record is from RNAcentral.